Molecule: ribosomal RNA, 301 nt
Filed under: uncultured bacterium
Lineage: Bacteria
Description: partial 16S ribosomal RNA
Rfam family: Bacterial small subunit ribosomal RNA
Source: RNAcentral
CAGCCGCCGCGGUAAUACAGAGGGUGCAAGCGUUAAUCGGAAUUACUGGGCGUAAAGCGCGCGUAGGUGGUUUGGUAAGAUGGAUGUGAAAUCCCCGGGCUCAACCUGGGAACUGCAUCCAUAACUGCCUGACUAGAGUACGGUAGAGGGUGGUGGAAUUUCCUGUGUAGCGGUGAAAUGCGUAGAUAUAGGAAGGAACACCAGUGGCGAAGGCGACCACCUGGACUGAUACUGACACUGAGGUGCGAAAGCGUGGGGAGCAAACAGGAUUAGAUACCCCGGUAGUCCCUGUCUCUUAUAC